This is a non-coding RNA of Meleagris gallopavo (turkey), 1276 nucleotides long. NCBI's taxonomy places the organism in Eukaryota, Metazoa, Chordata, Aves, Galliformes, Phasianidae. The record is from RefSeq and is a predicted model, not a curated record.
AACGCCUGCCCCAGCUCUGCAGUGUGACACAGAGCCAACGAGUUCCCACCUGGAGAACAGAGCAAAGGAGAAAAAGACAAUAAGUUUUGUGUAAGAACAGAUUGGAUCCACCACAGGAACACAGAUUCUCACUGAAUGAAGAUAACAGGACGAGGGACGGCCAGGAGGAGGAAGAGGGAGGAGGAUGUGCUUAAUUAUUUCAAGAAGGAACUAGUGACAUGAGCAGCACUCCCACAUCGCUUAUGAGCACAUCGUACAGAACAGCUCUGUCCAACACAGUGCCCCUGGCCUACUCACCGACAACAUACAGGCAACCGUGGAGCUCACUGACGCCGUUGCCGGCUCUUCGCUGGCCCAUCUCUUUCACUUCCAUCCACUUGUCCAAAUGGGGAUCGUAUUUCUCCACACUGGAAAGAGACGCUAUGCCAUCGUUGCCACCCACAGCGUAGACGUGGUUCUGAAAAAGUUGCAUAGGGAAAGUUUGUUUAGAAAACUUACGUAAUACUUGAAAAGCAGCCCUGGAUCCUGGCCCUGACCUGAGAGGAAACAAACUCACCAUGAGGGCUACGGAGCCAACUCCCCCCCGGGGCGUGUUCAUGGGGGCUAUCGCACUCCAUCGAUCGGACUCGAUGUCGUAUCUUUCCACAUCACUGAAGCAUGUGUUGUCAUCUAGACCUCCUAUUGCAUAAAUGGGGCCGCCGAGGGAAGCAAGAGCAAUUCCUCUCCUAAGAGAACCACAGAAUCAAUGCCUCAGUGCAUAUCCUUAAAGGGGAUGGGAAAGACAUCAGGUGCAACAUUAACUGACCGGGAAAGAUUUCCACUCUUCUGCAGCAACACAGGGGCUACCAUGGGCAGAGGGGAGUUGCAUCAUGGAUACUAAGCUGCGCUGGCCUGGCAGAAGUUGUGGAGUCAAAAAUAAAGGGCCGAAGAACCAGCUGUUCUUAUUUAUAGAGUAACACUCGAUGCUGCGAAAUGGGUCACCUGAUCCUCCUCUGCCACCGACACAGAACAGUACACCUGGAGGAGACAAAGGAGGUUUCCAGAGAGCUAGCAGAGAAAAUAGGGAUAAAAUUCUACAGCGGAGUAGACGGUUUCUCUCAGCAAUGAACACUUAACAAGCCUAGGGGAUUAAACUGCAUGCUCCUUUCGGAGCCUACAGGUCGCUGGAGGACAACAGUUUAUGGAGGUGCUGAGGUGAGACGCUCACGAAGUCUUCACACUCCACCACCUCAGUAAAAUGUUCACAGGCGUACUGAUCGGCCAUGUCCAUCAGGUC